This 75-nucleotide transfer RNA is filed under the name Dipodomys ordii (Ord's kangaroo rat). Lineage: Eukaryota; Metazoa; Chordata; Mammalia; Rodentia; Heteromyidae. The record is from Rfam by way of RNAcentral.
CUAAGUAUCUGAUUCAAGUGAUAGAAUACUUGUCUAGCAAAUAUGAGGCCCUGAGUUCAAACCCCAGUACCUAGA